CGGCGGACGGGUGAGUAACGCGUGGGUAACCUGCCCUAUACAGGGGGAUAACAGUUAGAAAUGAUUGCUAAUACCGCAUAAGCGCACGGAGCCGCAUGGCGCUGAGUGAAAAACGAUAGUGGUAUAGGAGGGACCCGCGUCUGAUUAGGUAGUUGGUGAGGUAACGGCCCACCAAGCCGACGAUCAGUAGCCGACCUGAGAGGGUGACCGGCCACAUUGGGACUGAGACACGGCCCAAACUCCUACGGAAGGCAGCAG
This 258-nucleotide ribosomal RNA is filed under the name uncultured bacterium. RNAcentral describes it as "partial 16S ribosomal RNA". It matches the Rfam family "Bacterial small subunit ribosomal RNA", at positions 96 to 354 of the family's 1533-position model. The record is from RNAcentral.